CUUCGUUCUUCCCUCCCACCCGACGUUCUCUCGGAUGCUCGGGUGGACCGGAUAGUGGGGCUCGUUUUCACGAACGUCGUUUUUGUUCGAUCGUUCGGAUGGACCACGAGUGCCUACUCGUUCUCUCGGAUGCGGAACUCUCAUAAUGGGAGGGGGGUCAUUGGCCCUUGUUCCCUAAUCGUUAAGCGUUUACCGCUUCACCUGAAUGACGAUCCUGCCUUGUCCUUGAUCGCGCUAAGUCCUCGGG
RNAcentral lists this unclassified non-coding RNA (247 nucleotides) under Eucalyptus exigua. RNAcentral describes it as "partial external transcribed spacer". Lineage: Eukaryota; Viridiplantae; Streptophyta; Magnoliopsida; Myrtales; Myrtaceae. The record is from RNAcentral.